RNAcentral lists this ribosomal RNA (253 nucleotides) under uncultured bacterium. RNAcentral's name for it is "partial 16S ribosomal RNA". It matches the Rfam family "Bacterial small subunit ribosomal RNA", at positions 524 to 776 of the family's 1533-position model. The record is from RNAcentral.
UACGUAGGGUGCGAGCGUUGUCCGGAGUUAUUGGGCGUAAAGGGCUCGUAGGCGGUCUGUCGCGUCGGGAGUGAAAACUCAGGGCUUAACCCUGAGCCUGCUUCCGAUACGGGCAGACUAGAGGUAUGCAGGGGAGAACGGAAUUCCUGGUGUAGCGGUGAAAUGCGCAGAUAUCAGGAGGAACACCGGUGGCGAAGGCGGUUCUCUGGGCAUUACCUGACGCUGAGGAGCGAAAGCGUGGGUAGCAAACAGG